RNAcentral lists this ribosomal RNA (253 nucleotides) under uncultured bacterium. RNAcentral describes it as "partial 16S ribosomal RNA". It matches the Rfam family "Bacterial small subunit ribosomal RNA", at positions 524 to 776 of the family's 1533-position model. The record is from RNAcentral.
UACGGAGGGUGCGAGCGUUGUCCGGAAUCACUGGGCGUAAAGGGCGCGUAGGCGGCGCGAUAAGGCGGCGGUGAAAGUCCGGGGCUCAACCCCGGAUCGGCCGUGGCGACUGUCGCGCUGGAGCACAGUAGAGGCGGGUGGAAUUCCGGGUGUAGCGGUGGAAUGCGUAGAGAUCCGGAAGAACACCGGUGGCGAAGGCGGCAUCCUGGACCGGUAUUGACGCUGAGGCGCGAAAGCCAGGGGAGCAAACGGG